UUAUUAAAUUAACUUUUUACUCCGACGUAAGAAUGCAGUGUUUUGAUGACCUCCGGGGGGAAUGCCGCGGACGGCAGGGUCGCCCCCGAAGCAACAAGAUGUGUUCACAAAGGGUUGGAGGUCGGACGUGAGUCCUCACUCAGUAAUGAUCCCUCCGCAGGUUCACCUACGGAGA
Molecule: unclassified non-coding RNA, 175 nt
Filed under: uncultured fungus
Lineage: Eukaryota; Fungi
Description: sequence contains ITS1
Source: RNAcentral